UCAUUACAUUAACAGUUCCAUCAUUGUUUGCACUGAUAUUGGCAAUUCUGAUAUUAGAUGGAGCUGGUGGAGCAGAUGGAUCUUUAGAGGAGCGGAAGUGCUUGCUGGGUGCCGUGAAGCCCCUUGUCCCAUGCACGUUCACAGCUGCCACGCGGAACUGGUACCACCUGCUUGCUCUGAUGUCUGACAGUUGAACCCGCUCAUCUGUUGUCUGUGCCACAGUUUGCCAGUUAGUCGCGUCAUCCUCACUAGGAUGGAUUCCUUGAUUCCACCUCCUCUGAACAACGUAAAUCACAGGUUCAAUGGAAAUAUUGAAUUUUGAAGACCACUUCACCUCUAGAUCUCCAGACUGGAGUUCUAUGAAUUUUAAUUCUUUCCGGGGUUUCAAUGGAACACCUUUGUACAGAUUUUUGGGAACUUGGCAUGUGUG
RNAcentral lists this long non-coding RNA (430 nucleotides) under Gallus gallus (chicken). The record is from RNAcentral. Lineage: Eukaryota; Metazoa; Chordata; Aves; Galliformes; Phasianidae.